GGAGAGGUGGCUGAGUCGGUUGAAAGCGGUCGCCUGCUAAGCGACUAAGCGCCCAAAAAGGUGCUUCGAGGGUUCGAAUCCCUCCCUCUCCGCCA
This 95-nucleotide transfer RNA is filed under the name Candidatus Aerophobota bacterium. RNAcentral describes it as "tRNA-Ser". It matches the Rfam family "tRNA". From Rfam's summary of the family: Transfer RNA (tRNA) molecules are approximately 80 nucleotides in length. Their secondary structure includes four short double-helical elements and three loops (D, anti-codon, and T loops). The record is from RNAcentral. Lineage: Bacteria; Candidatus Aerophobota.